GCCACAAAAUAGGCCUGGGAGACAUUUGUUUGCUUGAUAUAGAACUGUACGCCACCGUGCACAAAUCCUUUCACCUUUGUCUCAACUUCAUUAAAUAUUAUCAUCGUGGCUGCACCUUUCAUCUCGAUCAGCUAUCCCUGUUGGACGGUAACUUAAUUAUACGAAAGUACAAUGAACUAUAUCUAGAGCUCAAUCACCGUGCGUGACCCUGCAUAAAUUAACAAAAAUUCAGACAAAGACAUAUAACAAACACUUUUGUUUAGUUUCCGGACCUUGAUAGACUGUGACUUUACAUUGAAAGAUACAGCAUUUUGUAUCUAGAGCAGACACCAAUUCUCGUUCUAAUCGCACACUGAACGAUCGGGUAUAUAUAACAGCGGGGUGACACAAGAUUGGUAAGUAGUUUUUAAAAACCUUAUUAUUACAGCACACAUUUGAAUCCUUGUAAGUUGUAGCGAACGUU
Non-coding RNA from Paramuricea clavata, 463 nucleotides. Lineage: Eukaryota; Metazoa; Cnidaria; Anthozoa; Malacalcyonacea; Plexauridae. The record is from the annotation of a GenBank genome assembly.